Molecule: ribosomal RNA, 509 nt
Filed under: uncultured bacterium
Lineage: Bacteria
Description: bacterial SSU rRNA
Rfam family: Bacterial small subunit ribosomal RNA
Source: RNAcentral
AGUUUGAUCAUGGCUCAGAGUGAACGCUGGCGGCAGGCCUAAUACAUGCAAGUCGAACGGCAGCACAGCAGAGCUUGCUCUGGUGGGUGGCGAGUGGCGGACGGGUGAGGAAUACAUGGGAAUCUGCCCAGUCGUGGGGGAUAACGUAGGGAAACUUACGCUAAUACCGCAUGCGCCCUUCGGGGGAAAGCCGGGGACCUUCGGGCCUGGCGCGAUUGGAUGAGCCCAUGUCGGAUUAGCUAGUUGGCGGGGUAAUGGCCCACCAAGGCGACGAUCCGUAGCUGGUCUGAGAGGAUGAUCAGCCACACUGGAACUGAGACACGGUCCAGACUCCUACGGGAGGCAGCAGUAGGGAAUAUUGGACAAUGGGCGCAAGCCUGAUCCAGCCAUGCCGCGUGAGUGAAGAAGGCCCUCGGGUUGUAAAGCUCUUUUGUCCGGAAAGAAAAGCGCCGGGUUAAUACCCUAGUGUCCUGACGGUACCGGAAGAAUAAGCACCGGCUAACUUCGUG